AUGGACAAGCAGAGCGUCAUGUGGAGACAGCUGCAGCACCAGCACCACCAGGCCAGCGGCGCGGCGGGUGGCAAUGCCGUCGCUGCUGCCGGUGCUGGUGCGACGACGACGACCGCGCCCGUCCGGCCGAGCGGCGCGCGGUGGACGCCCACGCCGGAGCAGGUCAAGAUCCUCAAGGACCUCUACUACGACUGCGGCAUCCGGUCGCCCACGGCGGAGCAGAUCCAGCGGAUCGCGGCCCGGCUCCGGCAGUACGGCCGGAUCGAGGGCAAGAACGUCUUCUACUGGUUCCAGAACCACAAGGCCCGCGAGCGCCAGAAGAAGCGCCUCGGCGUCGACGUCAACGGCUCCCCCCUCGCCACCGCCACCGCCGCCGACGUCCUCGCCCUCUCCCCCUCCGGUGCGGCGGCCGGCUUGUACGGCGCCGGCAGCUGCGCCGGUAGAGGCGCGGCUGUCCAUCCAGAUGCGAGCGCCACUACUACUACUUGCUGGGGAGACAGCACCCUGCAGGACUACAUGGGCGCGAGGAGCACGGCGGGAGCGGGCAACCACGGCGGCGCCGCCGCAGCAGCACCUACGCCGUGGCCAGCUGCGAGCUUCCCUUUCUCCACCAACCAGACGCCGCCAAUGCCCCCGCCGCGGGAGCUCCCGCUCUUCCCGACCGGCGGAGGCCGGCAAGAAAGCGCCGACGACUUCAACGGCAGCAGCUACCAUCUCCAGCCCAACAGCUCGCAGUGGUGGGAAGCUGCCGCCGCCAGCAACGCCAACGCCAUGGCAGUCGUCCAUCAUCAGCUGCUGCAAGAACAGCACGAGCAGCAGCACAGCUUUUACAACAGCAGCGGCAACCAGCAGCAGAUGAUGAUGAUGAUGCCCAUCCAGGACGCCGGCACCUCCCCGGAGCUCACUCUCCGCGCCCCUUACAUGUGA
This 927-nucleotide ribosomal RNA is filed under the name Triticum aestivum (bread wheat). Its description in RNAcentral is "partial small subunit ribosomal RNA". The record is from RNAcentral. Lineage: Eukaryota; Viridiplantae; Streptophyta; Magnoliopsida; Poales; Poaceae.